AUUGAACGCUGGCGGCAUGCCUUACACAUGCAAGUCGAACGGCAGCACGGGUGCUUGCACCUGGUGGCGAGUGGCGAACGGGUGAGUAAUACAUCGGAACGUACCUUAUCGUGGGGGAUAACGCAGCGAAAGCUGUGCUAAUACCGCAUACGCCCUGAGGGGGAAAGCGGGGGAUCGCAAGACCUCGCGCGAUUAGAGCGGCCGAUGCCUGAUUAGCUUGUUGGUGGGGUAAAAGCCCACCAAGGCGACGAUCAGUAGCUGGUCUGAGAGGACGAUCAGCCACACUGGGACUGAGACACGGCCCAGACUCCUACGGGAGGCAGCAGUGGGGAAUUUUGGACAAUGGGGGCAACCCUGAUCCAGCAAUGCCGCGUGAGUGAAGAAGGCCUUCGGGUUGUAAAGCUCUUUUGUCAGGGAAGAAACAGCAGCUCUAACACAGUCUGCGAAUGACGGUACCUGAAGAAUAAGCACCGGCUAACUACGUGCCAGCCGCCGCAGUAA
Molecule: ribosomal RNA, 501 nt
Filed under: uncultured bacterium
Lineage: Bacteria
Description: partial 16S ribosomal RNA
Rfam family: Bacterial small subunit ribosomal RNA
Source: RNAcentral